RNAcentral lists this ribosomal RNA (233 nucleotides) under uncultured bacterium. RNAcentral's name for it is "partial 16S ribosomal RNA". It matches the Rfam family "Bacterial small subunit ribosomal RNA", at positions 794 to 1031 of the family's 1533-position model. The record is from RNAcentral.
UCCACGCCGUAAACGAUGGAUACUAGCUGUUCGGACUUCGGUCUGAGUGGCUAAGCGAAAGUGAUAAGUAUCCCACCUGGGGAGUACGUUCGCAAGAAUGAAACUCAAAGGAAUUGACGGGGGCCCCGCACAAGCGGUGGAGCAUGUGGUUUAAUUCGAUGAUACGCGAGGAACCUUACCAGGGCUUAAAUGUAAGUUGCAUUAGUUGGAGACAGCUAUUUCUUCGGACCACU